Long non-coding RNA from Helianthus annuus (common sunflower), 334 nucleotides. RefSeq lists it as uncharacterized. NCBI's taxonomy places the organism in Eukaryota, Viridiplantae, Streptophyta, Magnoliopsida, Asterales, Asteraceae. The record is from RefSeq and is a predicted model, not a curated record. The transcript is spliced from 2 exons.
UGCAUACACUUAUAUGCAUGUUGAUUGUUCUCGGUCAUCUGAAGCCCCUGUUAGAUCCCCGGAUGUUUUGGUAUCCAACAAUUUCAUGAAAAACGCGGUUAUUGAUGACCAGGAUAUGGAUAUUGAUGAAGCAUCCCAAGAUUCCCAGAUGGAAGCCAUGACUGUUGCUGUUUCUGGAUCAUCUCAUGGUCCUUCUAUGUUUGCUGAAUCACCACGCGGCCAGUUAGACGGUUGUACAAUGGACAAUGGGAUCCCACUUUAUUUUCAUAUCACACAUUUUAUAACUUGUAUUGUCAUGCCAUUUUAUUGCAGAUUCAUAACUUUUUCCGUUUUA